RNAcentral lists this ribosomal RNA (1348 nucleotides) under uncultured bacterium. RNAcentral's name for it is "bacterial SSU rRNA". It matches the Rfam family "Bacterial small subunit ribosomal RNA", at positions 28 to 1381 of the family's 1533-position model. The record is from RNAcentral.
GAUGAACGCUAGCGGCAGGCCUAACACAUGCAAGUCGAGGGGUAGGAAGAGCUUGCUUUUCUGAGACCGGCGCACGGGUGAGUAACGCGUAUGCAAUCUGCCUUAUACAGGGGAAUAGCCCAGAGAAAUUUGGAUUAAUGCCCCAUGGUUUAUUGAGAUGGCAUCAUUUUAAUAAUAAAGAUUUAUCGGUAUAAGAUGAGCAUGCGUAUCAUUAGCUAGUUGGUGUGGUAACGGCAUACCAAGGCAACGAUGAUUAGGGGUCCUGAGAGGGAGAUCCCCCACACUGGUACUGAGACACGGACCAGACUCCUACGGGAGGCAGCAGUGAGGAAUAUUGGUCAAUGGAGGCAACUCUGAACCAGCCAUGCCGCGUGCAGGAUGACGGUCCUAUGGAUUGUAAACUGCUUUUGUACAGGAAGAAACAUUGCUACGUGUAGCAACUUGACGGUACUGUAAGAAUAAGGAUCGGCUAACUCCGUGCCAGCAGCCGCGGUAAUACGGAGGAUCCGAGCGUUAUCCGGAAUUAUUGGGUUUAAAGGGUUCGUAGGCGGUUAGAUAAGUCAGUGGUGAAAUUUCCUAGCUUAACUAGGGCACUGCCAUUGAUACUGUUUAACUUGAAUAGUAUGGAAGUAACUAGAAUAUGUAGUGUAGCGGUGAAAUGCUUAGAUAUUACAUGGAAUACCAAUUGCGAAGGCAGGUUACUACGUACUUAUUGACGCUGAUGAACGAAAGCGUGGGGAGCGAACAGGAUUAGAUACCCUGGUAGUCCACGCCGUAAACGAUGGAUACUAGCUGUUCGGUCUUCGGAUUGAGUGGCUAAGCGAAAGUGAUAAGUAUCCCACCUGGGGAGUACGUUCGCAAGAAUGAAACUCAAAGGAAUUGACGGGGGCCCGCACAAGCGGUGGAGCAUGUGGUUUAAUUCGAUGAUACGCGAGGAACCUUACCAGGGCUUAAAUGUAGAUUGACAGAUUUGGAAACAGAUUUUUCUUCGGACAAUUUACAAGGUGCUGCAUGGUUGUCGUCAGCUCGUGCCGUGAGGUGUCAGGUUAAGUCCUAUAACGAGCGCAACCCCUAUUGUUAGUUGCCAGCGAGUAAUGUCGGGAACUCUAGCAAGACUGCCGGUGCAAACCGUGAGGAAGGUGGGGAUGACGUCAAAUCAUCACGGCCCUUACGUCCUGGGCUACACACGUGCUACAAUGGCAAGUACAGAAAGCAGCUACCUGGCAACAGGAUGCGAAUCUCCAAAGCUUGUCUCAGUUCGGAUUGGAGUCUGCAACUCGACUCUAUGAAGCUGGAAUCGCUAGUAAUCGGAUAUCAGCCAUGAUCCGGUGAAUACGUUCCCGGGCCU